RNAcentral lists this ribosomal RNA (630 nucleotides) under Pseudoalteromonas sp. Its description in RNAcentral is "bacterial SSU rRNA". It matches the Rfam family "Bacterial small subunit ribosomal RNA", at positions 34 to 655 of the family's 1533-position model. The record is from RNAcentral. Lineage: Bacteria; Pseudomonadati; Pseudomonadota; Gammaproteobacteria; Alteromonadales; Pseudoalteromonadaceae.
AGCCUGCGCAGCCUAACACAUGCAAGUCGAGCGGUAGCACAGAGAAACUUGUUUCUUGGGUGACGAGCGGCGGACGGGUGAGUAAUGCUUGGGAACAUGCCUUUAGGUGGGGGACAACAGUUGGAAACGACUGCUAAUACCGCAUGAUGUCUACGGACCAAAGUGGGGGACCUUCGGGCCUCACGCCUAAAGAUUGGCCCAAGUGGGAUUAGCUAGUUGGUGAGGUAAUGGCUCACCAAGGCAACGAUCUCUAGCUGGUUUGAGAGGAUGAUCAGCCACACUGGAACUGAGACACGGUCCAGACUCCUACGGGAGGCAGCAGUGGGGAAUAUUGCACAAUGGGCGAAAGCCUGAUGCAGCCAUGCCGCGUGUGUGAAGAAGGCCUUCGGGUUGUAAAGCACUUUCAGUCAGGAGGAAAGGGUGUGUUUUAAUAGAACGCAUCUGUGACGUUACUGACAGAAGAAGCACCGGCUAACUCCGUGCCAGCAGCCGCGGUAAUACGGAGGGUGCGAGCGUUAAUCGGAAUUACUGGGCGUAAAGCGUACGCAGGCGGUUGAUUAAGCGAGAUGUGAAAGCCCCGGGCUCAACCUGGGAACUGCAUUUCGAACUGGUCAACUAGAGUGUGAUAGA